AUUUGUCUGCUUGUUUGAUGGGGUUCGUUACUGUUUUCUGGAAGUACUGUGGGAAUGUAUCAAAAUGGUUCACUGAUUUCUCUUCUUGCAUCAGAUUUUGGGCUCUGUGUUCUGUUUGGUUAUGGGGGAUAUCAAUAGAGGAAGAAUUAGUAUUAUUGUUCUUCUGAAUUGUUUUGAUUCAGUAAAGAUAAUUACUUUAUGACAUUUUGAUUAUAAAUAGUAUCUCUUUGGUAUACUGUUGAACUUCUUAAGUUAGUUUCAUGGAUACUACACUAGUUUCUCGUUUUUUUUUCCCAAUCGAUUUGGUUAAAUUCUUACUAACUAGUAGCUACAUAGUUCCUUAUUGGAGUUUAGACAAUUUUGAUCAUGUAAAGUUUGGAUUUUUCUGGUUUAUGUUUAUUGUUGCACUGUGAUUUGAAUCCACUCAUGUUUUUUUUUUAAUUCUUGUUUGUUAAAUAGCUUUGAUGUGACUUCUGUUUGUGGUGGUGAUUGUUUGUUGUGCUCUCUUUAUUGCUUUUGUUUGAUGUUCAUUUCUUCACUUUUUGCUGCCAAGUUUUAAUUUAGUGUUUUCGUUCUUGUGUGUUUAUAGAGGCAUGUCGUCUGAUACGGCUAAGGAAAAUGCAUCUGUUGUCGAUUCAUCUUUGACUGA
Molecule: long non-coding RNA, 649 nt
Filed under: Capsella grandiflora
Lineage: Eukaryota; Viridiplantae; Streptophyta; Magnoliopsida; Brassicales; Brassicaceae
Description: long non-coding RNA (CGRA_LNC001369)
Source: RNAcentral